This 1444-nucleotide unclassified non-coding RNA is filed under the name uncultured Neocallimastigales. RNAcentral's name for it is "partial contains small subunit ribosomal RNA, internal transcribed spacer 1, 5.8S ribosomal RNA, internal transcribed spacer 2, and large subunit ribosomal RNA". The stretch from base 667 to 1444 matches the Rfam family "Eukaryotic large subunit ribosomal RNA", at positions 1 to 629 of the family's 3401-position model. The record is from RNAcentral. Lineage: Eukaryota; Fungi; Neocallimastigomycota; Neocallimastigomycetes; Neocallimastigales.
UUUCCGUAGGUGAACCUGCGGAAGGAUCAUUAAAAAAUUGGACUCCAUUGGUGAGUUCAUUAAUAAUCCCUACCCUUUGUGAAUUUGUUUGUUUGAAUAAUUUUUUUUCCAAAAAAAAUUAUUGAAUGUCUUUCCUUGUUUUGGUGGAGCUUGUAAAGUGAAACCAGGCAGGGGAAUGGCAAACAAUAAUUAUUUUUGAAAAAGACCUUUUUUUAAAAUUAAACUUUUUGUAUUCAUUUGUCUAAAAUUAAUUUUUAUAAUAUAAAAACAACUUUUGACAAUGGAUCUCUUGGUUCUCGCAACGAUGAAGAACGCAGCAAAAUGCGAUAAGUAGUGUGAAUUGCAGAAUACGUGAAUCAUCGAAUCUUCGAACGCAUAUUGCACUUUUUUAGUUUUACUAAAAAAGUAUGUCUGUUUGAGUAUCAGUAAAAUAUUCUCAUAAAAAACAUUGUUUUUUUUAUGGUUAUGAGUGUUUUACAACGAUAACAAGUUGUUUCACUUUAAAUUCUUUGUUAUCAAAAAAAUCAUUAAAAGCUAAUUUUAAAGAUUUUUUAAAAUUGGAUAAAAUUUUCCCGUAAAAAGGAAUAACCUAAACAAUUUUAAAAAAUUAAAAUUGGUUUGAUUGUUUUUUUGAAACCCAAAGGAAAAAAAGAACGAAAUUAACUUUGAUCUCAAAUCAGAUAAGAGUACCCGCUGAACUUAAGCAUAUCAAUAAGCGGAGGAAAAGAAAACUAACUAGGAUUCCCUCAGUAACGGCGAGUGAAGCGGGAAGAGCUCAAAUUUGAAAUCUUCAAGGUUUUACCUUGACGAAUUGUAGUUUAAAGAAGUGUUUUCUGUUGGAGUUUUGGUAAAAGUUCUUUGGAAAAGGACAUCAUAGAGGGUGAGAAUCCCGUAUUUGACCAUUAUCUCCAGCUUUGUGAUACACUUUCAAAGAGUCGGAUUGUUUGGGAAUGCAGUCCAAAAUGGGUGGUAAAUCUCAUCUAAAGCUAAAUACUGGCGAGAGACCGAUAGCGAAUAAGUACCGUGAGGGAAAGAUGAAAAGAACUUUGAAAAGAGAGUUAAACAGUACGUGAAAUUGUCAAAAGGGAAGCGUUUGACACCAGUGUUGUUUUCUCGAAAAUCAAUUAAAAAAGGCCGGAUUUUGUGUUGUAUUGGCUUUAUCAGCUUUCUGCACUCUUUUCUUGUCUUUUUUAAUGCACUUUUCGUUUAACAAGUCAACAUCAAUUUCUUUUGUUGUAAAAGGGUCAUUGGAAGGUGGCUUUCUUUCGGAGAAAGUGUUUAUAGCCUUUGGCCUCUGCAAUCGGAGAGAUUGAGGUCUGCAGCGUAGAUCCUUCGGGUUAGAUACAUUUGUGCUAAGUUAUAGCCUUUCAUAGACAACUUGUUGACUAUGAUCAGUCAUGUAGCUUACUCGCUUAUGCUAUUUUACCUACGCUUAGGAUGUUGA